UCCUUUAAUUAGGACACGUGUAUUAACUAGAUACGCUCCCCCUUACAAUUGUUGUGAGAGGGAGCGUUUUU
This is a non-coding RNA of Staphylococcus capitis, 71 nucleotides long. The record is from Rfam. Lineage: Bacteria; Bacillati; Bacillota; Bacilli; Caryophanales; Staphylococcaceae.